Molecule: transfer RNA, 67 nt
Filed under: Junonia natalica
Lineage: Eukaryota; Metazoa; Arthropoda; Insecta; Lepidoptera; Nymphalidae
Description: tRNA-Val
Source: RNAcentral
UCAAAUUAGAGCUUGUAUAAGUAUUUCAUUUACAUUGAAAAGAAAUUAAAACAUUAAUUAAUUUGAG